UAAGUUAUUAAGGGCACACGGUGGAUGCCUUGGCAUUAAGAGCCGAUGAAGGACGUGUGAAUCUGCGAUAAGCCUCGGGGAGCCGAUAACUGGGCGUUGAUCCGAGGAUUUCCGAAUGGGGAAACCUGGCUCAUCUUCAUGGUGAGUUACCGCCAGCUGAAUGUAUAGGCUGGUUGGGGGGAACGCGGGGAAGUGAAACAUCUCAGUACCCGCAGGAAGAGAAAAUAAAGUAAUGAUUCUGUGAGUAGUGGCGAGCGAAAGCGGAAGAGACUAAACCUGUGGUGUGUGAUAGCGGUUAGGCGUUGCAUCAUGGGGGUUGUGGGAGUCACAGUGGCAGUUCUAACUGGCUGCCGGCAUGAUGUUCAGGAUGGUAGGUGAACGACUUGGAAUGGUCGGCCGUAGAGGGUGAGAGUCCCGUAAUCGAAAUUGUUCUGUCCGUGGUGUGGCCACCCGAGUAGCACGGGGCUCGUGGAAUCUCGUGUGAAUCUGCCAGGACCACCUGGUAAGUCUAAAUACUUCUUAGUGACCGAUAGUGAAUCAGUACCGUGAGGGAAUGGUGAAAAGUACCCCGGGAGGGGAGUGAAAUAGUACCUGAAACCGUGUGCUUACAAGCCGUUGGAGCCUUUUGGGGUGACAGCGUGCCUUUUGAAGAAUGAGCCUGCGAGUUAGUGUUAUGUCGCGAGGUUAACCCGUGUGGGGUAUCCGUAGCGAAAGCGAGUCUGAAUAGGGCGUUUGAGUGGCAUGACCUAGACCCGAAGCGGAGUGAUCUAUCCAUGGCCAGGUUGAAGCGACGGUAAGACGUCGUGGAGGACCGAACCCACUUCAGUUGAAAAUGGAGGGGAUGAGCUGUGGAUAGGGGUGAAAGGCCAAUCAAACUCUGUGAUAGCUGGUUCUCCCCGAAAUGCAUUUAGGUGCAGCGUUACGUGUUUCUUGCCGGAGGUAGAGCUACUGGAUGGCCGAUGGGCCUUCACGGGUUACUGACGUCAGCUAAACUCCGAAUGCCGGUAAGUGAGAGCGUAGCAGUGAGACAGUGGGGGAUAAGCUUCAUUGUCGAGAGGGAAACAGCCCAGACCACCAACUAAGGCCCCUAAGCGUGUGCUAAGUGGGAAAGGAUGUGGAGUUGCUUAGACAACCAGGAGGUUGGCUUAGAAGCAGCCAUCCUUGAAAGAGUGCGUAACAGCUCACUGGUCAAGUGAUUCUGCGCCGAUAAUGUAGCGGGGCUCAAGUACACCGCCGAAGUUGUGGCAAUGAUCUUUUUGGAUUGUUGGGUAGGGGAGCGUCGUGUGGCCGGUGAAGCUGCGGUGUAAACCAGUGGUGGAGGCUAUGCGAGUGAGAAUGCAGGCAUGAGUAGCGAAAGAUGAGUGAGAAACUCAUCCGCCGGAUGAUCAAGGGUUCCAGGGUCAAGUUAAUCUGCCCUGGGUUAGUCGGGGCCUAAGGCGAGGCCGACAGGCGUAGUCGAUGGAUAACGGGUUGAUAUUCCCGUACCGGUGAAAAACCGCCCAUACUGAUAUUGUGAUGCUAACCAUGCGAAGCAUGAUGUGCAGGCUUUUGUUUGUGUGUUGUGUGGGUUGUGGGACCCGAUCUUUGGAGGUAAACGUGUUAACAGGUGUGACGCAGGAAGGUAGCCAAGCCACGCGAUGGUUGUCGUGGUCUAAGCGUGUAGGGUUGUCGGUUGUUAAAUGCGCCGGCUGUGUGCCUGAGACGUGAUGGGACCCUGUUUUUGGGGGAUUUGGUGAUCCUAUGCUGCCGAGAAAAGCAUCGGCGUGAGGUUUUAGCCGCCCGUACCCUAAACCGACACAGGUGAUCAGGUAGAGAAUACUAAGGCGAUCGAGAGAAUCAUGGUUAAGGAACUCGGCAAAAUGCCCCCGUAACUUCGGGAGAA
Molecule: ribosomal RNA, 1882 nt
Filed under: Rothia mucilaginosa DY-18
Lineage: Bacteria; Bacillati; Actinomycetota; Actinomycetes; Micrococcales; Micrococcaceae
Description: bacterial LSU rRNA
Rfam family: Bacterial large subunit ribosomal RNA
Source: RNAcentral